AAGAAAUCCUACAAGCCUUGUUUUAACUAUAAAAUGCAGAUAAAUUCAUGUGAAUUUUGACUGAAGAUAAUGGAUCUGGAGACAGUGGUCCCAAGAGCCACCUCAAAGGACCAUGGAGAAGAAUAACAUCAUAUCCACAGAACAUAAUCAUAAAUCCAGAAGUCCACAGUCUAAUGAGAAGAGAGAUAAUUAUCGUGUGUAAUUCAGAUGACAGCUUUCAAAAUCCUGCUUAUUUAAUGCCUACAACUUGAAAGAUACUAAUCAAGGCACUGGGGAAUUCAGC
RNAcentral lists this long non-coding RNA (283 nucleotides) under Capra hircus (goat). Its description in RNAcentral is "lncRNA (ENSCHIG00000007508.1)". The record is from RNAcentral. Lineage: Eukaryota; Metazoa; Chordata; Mammalia; Artiodactyla; Bovidae.